AACGCACAUUGCGCCCGCCAGCACUCUGGCGGGCAUGCCUGUUCGAGCGUCAUUUCAACCCCUCAAGCCCAGCUUGGUGUUGGGGCACUGCGUCACCCGCAGGCCCCCAAAUCCAGUGGCGGACGCGCCAGGUCCCCGAGCGCAGUAGUUUCUCCUCGCUCUGGGCGGCCGGCGCGGGCUUGCCUCGCCCCAUCUCGCACAAAGGUUGACCUCGGAUCAGGUAGGAAUACCCGCUGAACUUAA
RNAcentral lists this unclassified non-coding RNA (243 nucleotides) under uncultured fungus. RNAcentral describes it as "partial contains 5.8S ribosomal RNA, internal transcribed spacer 2, and large subunit ribosomal RNA". Lineage: Eukaryota; Fungi. The record is from RNAcentral.